This 274-nucleotide ribosomal RNA is filed under the name uncultured bacterium. RNAcentral's name for it is "partial 16S ribosomal RNA". It matches the Rfam family "Archaeal small subunit ribosomal RNA", at positions 473 to 747 of the family's 1478-position model. The record is from RNAcentral.
AAACCAGCACUUCAAGUGGUCAGCAGGAUUAUUGGGCCUAAAGCAUCCGUAGCCUGUUCUAUAAGUUUCCGGUUAAAUCCACUAGCUCAACUAGUGGGCUGCCGAAAAUACUGUAGAACUAGGGAGUGGGAGAGGUAGACGGUAUUCGGUAGGAAGGGGUAAAAUCCUUUGAUCUAUUGAGGACCACCUGUGGCGAAGGCGGUCUACCAGAACACGUUCGACGGUGAGGGAUGAAAGCUGGGGGAGCAAACCGGAUUAGAAACCCCUGUAGUCC